AGGACGAACGCUGGCGGCGUGCUUAACACAUGCAAGUCGAGCGGUAAGGCCUCCUUCGGGGGGUACACGAGCGGCGAACGGGUGAGUAACACGUGGGUGACCUGCCCUCAGCUCUGGGAUAAGCCUGGGAAACCGGGUCUAAUACCGGAUAGGACUGCUUGCCGCAUGGUGGGUGGUGGAAAGUUUUUUCGGCUGGGGAUGGGCCCGCGGCCUAUCAGCUUGUUGGUGGGUGAUGGCCUACCAAGGCGGUGACGGGUA
RNAcentral lists this ribosomal RNA (258 nucleotides) under uncultured bacterium. RNAcentral describes it as "partial small subunit ribosomal RNA". It matches the Rfam family "Bacterial small subunit ribosomal RNA", at positions 26 to 285 of the family's 1533-position model. The record is from RNAcentral.